Molecule: long non-coding RNA, 2544 nt
Filed under: Homo sapiens (human)
Lineage: Eukaryota; Metazoa; Chordata; Mammalia; Primates; Hominidae
Description: non-protein coding HNF4A-AS1:15
Source: RNAcentral
AGUCCAGGCAGCCACCAGCUGGCCUGGUCUUGCUGCUUCCUUUAGCGGCUUCCAAGGUCCAGGGACAGGGGGUCUGGGCCACCAAGAGGCUCUGCUAGGCUGUCCCUGCAGCCACAGCCACCCCACUGGACCCCUGCCUCCCAUCUGAGAGGACAGCCCUCUUCCUGGAGCUGGGAUCUGACACUUGCUGAUACCAACGGCAGAUACCAGGUCAAGGAUUCGGUGACUUGAAGACAGGCCUCCUCUGUUGCUUUGAGUCAAUUUCUAGUACCUGGGCCUAAAUCUUGACUGCACACCGGUCAUAUUAUUGAGGUAACGAGAUGUGAGCAGAAACAACCUGUGUCACACCUGGGCAGAAGCUUUAAAGGCCAGUGCUGCCCUUGUUGGGGAAGCAAGUAUAGAUAUGAAUCGUUCCACAACGCGGAGCGCCCCCUGCCGACCCAUGCUGGGCGUGUACUAUAGAUGAGGAGACUGAGGAUCAGAGAGAUAAAGUCACCUGUCCAAGGUCAUACUGUGGAUGUAGCUCUAACCCAAGCCCUCCCGACUGCAGCACAAAUUCUCAGCCACUACCCUAUUAGCCCCUUCAUUUGAAGGUGUCUUCAUCAUUGCCAAGAUUCCUUUUCCUCCCGGCCCCCUAAGUCUUCAGGAUUCCCUCAUCUCAUCUCCCCAGAGAAGCCAUGACACCAUCUUCUCCAAAAACAAAGUCAGCGCUUUCACUGUAGAUGGACCUGUGUUCUUCCCCCAAACUCAGUCCACCUCAUCUCCAGAAAAACUAUAUGACUUGCCCUGGAGAAGAGGGGGAAAAAAAAACCUCUUCCCACCAACUCCACCUCCCAAAUUACUGGAUUUGGGGUAAAUUUACAGGCUGGAGACAGAAGAAUGGAUGUGUAUUUAGCUUUCAAAUUGACUAUUGUUUUAUGUGAAUGUCUGAUAAAGAAAACACAAUGGCUGCCAGAUGGGGCCUGGGAGUGAGAUUUCCCAUGUGGAGAAUUCUAGAAGACAUGCCUGGAGUUCUGGAGCCUGGAUCCUCUGGACAGACAGGUGGCCAGCUAACCAGGGUGGAGGCACCAAAGAUAACUGUGGGGUGGGGAGAAGACACCAGCCCAAGAGAUUUGACUGGGAUUGGUCUACGCAAGAAUGGAAAAUGGAGGCAGAAUGAGUUAGCAGCAAGCACACGUACACUGCUAUAGAAUCUGAGGGACCCGGCCAGUGCUGGCCAAUAGAAAUAGAAUGUGAGCCACAGACAUAAUUUAAACUUUUCUUGUAGUCACUUAAAAACAUGGUAAAUCUAUGAAAUAGAAGAUUGCUCGUGCAAAUAAAUGAACUCUGCUUUGGUCUCAGUGAUCAGGGGUCCCACACUCAAGUGCCCUCAAUACCCAGAGAAGUAACUGAAAUAAAUGGAACAGAUAGGGUGUGAGCAAAGUUCACACGUUCCUCUAAGAAAAACAAUACAGCAAACAUGGUGAUUUAUGUUCAUUAAUAAGUUUCCGUAUGGGGACACUAAGGAAUAGUGGGGACUACGGCAAAUUAGAGGAAGCAUGAGAAUCUAAAGUGGCUCCAGGAGACUGUUGUCUCAUAGGUAUCAGUGUUGCUAGACCUUCACUUUUUUUAAAGGAGGUGAAAGUUGGGAUUUUCUUUAAUUUAUUUUUUUGACAGGGUCUUGCUCUGUCGCCCAGGCUGGAGUGCAGUGGCGAUCUUGGCUCACGGCAAUCUCCACCUCCUGGGUUCAAGAGAUUCUCCUGCCCCAGCCUCCUAAGUAGCUGGGAUUACAGGCGUGCUCCAGCAUGCCUGGCUAAUUUUUGCAUUUUUAGUAGAGAUGGGAUUUCCCACUGUUGGCCAAGCUGAUCUCGAAUUCCUGACCUCAAGUGAUCUGCCCACCUCCACCUCCCAAAGUGCUGGGAUUACAGGUGUGAGCCACCGGGCCCAGCCUCUAAUUUUUGUAUUUUUUGUAGAGACAGAAUCUUGCUGUGUUCAAGACCAGCCUGGCCAACAUGGCGAAACCCCGUCUCUACUAAAAAUACAAAAAUUAGCUGGGCAGUAGUGGCACGCGCCUGUAAUCCCAGCUACUCCAGAGGCUGAGGCAGGAGAAUUACUUGAACCUGGGAGGCGGAGAUUGCAGUGAGCCCAGAUCGAACCAUUGCAUUCCAGCCUCGGCGACAAGAUUGAGACUCCGUCUCAAAAACAAAAAGCAACAACAAAAAAAAUUGUUUGAAAGCCACUAAUCUGCCCAUAGCCUCUAACUUACAAGUAAGGAAGCUAAGGCCUACAAAUGUCAAGUACCUGAGAUCCUGUGUGUGUCAGGGCUAGAGCUGGGACCACAACCUGCUCCCAGCGCUGAGCCCUGCAGGCAGCUGGGUUUGCCUGGGAAGCUGCCCAGGGGAGCACCCAGGCCUCCCUCCAGUUUCUCUGGCUCUGCCCAGGGCAGGGCCGCCUGCUCUCUCCCUGUCUCCCCACCUCCUCUGCCCUUCGUCAUGCCUGUUUUGACAACUUUCUGACCUGCUCCUUCACAAACUCUGCUGGAGGUAUGGCUGCCUCCACUGCUUG